CCUACGGGUGGCAGCAGUGGGGGAUAUUGCACAAUGGGGGGAACCCUGAUGCAGCGACGCCGCGUGGGUGAAGGAGUGCUUCGGCAUGUAAAGCCCUAUCGGCAGGGAAGAAGCAGGACGUUACCUGACUAAAAAGCCCCGGCUAACGACGUGCCAGCAGCCGCGGUAAGAGGUAGGGGGCGAGCGUUAUCCGGAUUCACUGGGUGUAAAGGGAGCGUAGACGGCCCAGCAAGCUGGGGGUGAAAGCCCGGGGCCCAACCCCGGGACUGCCCUUGGAACUGCGUGGCUGGAGUGCAGGAGGGGUAGGCGGAAUUCCUGGUGUAGCGGUGAAAUGCGUAGAUAUCAGGAGGAACACCGGUGGCGAAGGCGGCCUGCUGGACUGCGACUGACGUUGAGGCUCGAAGGCGUGGGGAGCGAACAGGAUUAGAUACCCGAGUAGUC
Molecule: ribosomal RNA, 441 nt
Filed under: uncultured bacterium
Lineage: Bacteria
Description: partial 16S ribosomal RNA
Rfam family: Bacterial small subunit ribosomal RNA
Source: RNAcentral